AGAGCCGGAGGGGGCCAAAAUACCCAAGGGAAAGAGAAGGCAGGGGCCGGGGUGAACGAAGAUCACCCGGCCAACAGGACGGGGAGUCAAAGGGCAGAAGGGGAAGAUAAGAAGUACGGUAGAAAUUAGACCCCUGAGGGAGGUACCUAGGAGAGGACCCUGAGGGGGAAGGGGGUUUGUUAAAUAGCCUCCUUGAAGAUCCUUUAGGUCUGACAAGAACAGUUAGAUCAAUUCCUUUUCACAGAAGGGAAAAACAAGUAGUAAAGAUUAUGUUGCAGGCAGUAGAAAAACAGCAAAUAAGGAA
Amblyraja radiata (thorny skate) is the source of this 304-nucleotide long non-coding RNA. RefSeq lists it as uncharacterized. NCBI's taxonomy places the organism in Eukaryota, Metazoa, Chordata, Chondrichthyes, Rajiformes, Rajidae. The record is from RefSeq and is a predicted model, not a curated record. The transcript has 2 exons.